AUUGAACGCUGGCGGCAUGCCUCACACAUGCAAGUCGAACGGUAACGCGGGGCAACCUGGCGACGAGUGGCGAACGGGUGAGUAAUGCAUCGGAACGUGCCCAGUAGUGGGGGAUAGCCCGGCGAAAGCCGGAUUAAUACCGCAUACGACCUACGGGUGAAAGGGGGGGAUCGCAAGACCUCUCGCUAUUGGAGCGGCCGAUGUCAGAUUAGGUAGUUGGGGGGGUAAAGGCCCACCAAGCCUUCGAUCUGUAGCUGGUCUGAGAGGACGACCAGCCACACUGGGACUGAGACACGGCCCAGACUCCUACGGGAGGCAGCAGUGGGGAAUUUUGGACAAUGGGCGCAAGCCUGAUCCAGCCAUGCCGCGUGCGGGAAGAAGGCCUUCGGGUUGUAAACCGCUUUUGUCAGGGAAGAAACGCUCUGGGCUAAUACCUCGGGGUAAUGACGGUACCUGAAGAAUAAGCACCGGCUAACUACGUGCCAGCCGCCGCCGUAA
This 498-nucleotide ribosomal RNA is filed under the name uncultured bacterium. RNAcentral's name for it is "partial 16S ribosomal RNA". It matches the Rfam family "Bacterial small subunit ribosomal RNA", at positions 29 to 523 of the family's 1533-position model. The record is from RNAcentral.